This 282-nucleotide long non-coding RNA is filed under the name Fukomys damarensis (Damara mole-rat). RNAcentral's name for it is "lncRNA (ENSFDAG00000030766.1)". The record is from RNAcentral. Lineage: Eukaryota; Metazoa; Chordata; Mammalia; Rodentia; Bathyergidae.
GAAACUUCUCCCAGGCACUGAGGUAUUUACGGUGGCUGUUCUCAUCUUGCUGAAUGCCUGGAGAGCUUACUACUCUUUGGUUUUCAUUCAUGAGACGUUUGAAAGAAGGGGUAAGACACAUUUUUCUGAGAAAGUAGAUCUCUUCUCAACAUGGCUGCAGAAGUCACUUACGCUGAACUGAAGUUCAAAACUGAAUCCAAGCCCUCAGACCCCAACUCAGACUCACCUGCAGCUCCUAAAGGGAAGGCCACCCCUCAGAGAAGUAAUCUUUGUUUUCCCAAG